ACUCCUACGGGAGGCAGCAGUGGGGAAUAUUGGACAAUGGGCGAAAGCCUGAUCCAGCAAUACCGCGUGAAUGAUGAAGGCCUUAGGGUUGUAAAGUUCUUUGGUGGGGAAGAUGAUGACGGUACCCACAGAAAAGCCCGCUGAACUCAUGUGCCAGCCAGCCGCGGGUAAUACAGAGGGUGCGAGCGUUAAUCGGAAUUACUGGGCGUAAAGCGAGUGUAGGUGGCUCAUUAAGUCACAUGUGAAAUCCCGGCUGAUACCUGGGAACUGCAUGUGAUACUGGUGGUGCUAGAAUAUGUGAGAGGGAAGUAGAAUUCCAGGUGUAGCGGUGAAAUGCGUAGAGAUCUGAAGGAAUACCGGUGGCGAAGGCGGCCCCUG
RNAcentral lists this ribosomal RNA (378 nucleotides) under uncultured bacterium. Its description in RNAcentral is "bacterial SSU rRNA". It matches the Rfam family "Bacterial small subunit ribosomal RNA", at positions 335 to 731 of the family's 1533-position model. The record is from RNAcentral.